CGUAGGUGGCAAGCGUUGUCCGGAUUUAUUGGGUUUAAAGGGUGCGUAGGCGGUCUAUUAAGUCAGUGGUGAAAUACUCUAGCUCAACUAGAGGGGUGCCACUGAUACUGAUGGACUUGAGUACAGAUGAGGUAGGCGGAAUUGACGGUGUAGCGGUGAAAUGCUUAGAUAUCGUCAAGAACACCUAUAGCGAAGGCAGCUUACUAGGCUGUAACUGACGCUGAGGCACGAAAGUGUGGGGAUCAAACAGGAUUAGAUACCCUGGUAGUCCACACUGUAAACGUUGAUUACUCGCUGUGUGCGAUAUACAGUACGCGGCCAAGCGAAAGCGAUAAGUAAUCCACCUGGGGAGUACGCCGGCAACGGUG
This 368-nucleotide ribosomal RNA is filed under the name uncultured organism. Its description in RNAcentral is "bacterial SSU rRNA". It matches the Rfam family "Bacterial small subunit ribosomal RNA", at positions 526 to 896 of the family's 1533-position model. The record is from RNAcentral.